AUACGAAGGGGGCUAGCGUUGUUCGGAUUUACUGGGCGUAAAGCGCACGUAGGCGGAUUGAUUAGUUAGGGGUGAAAUCCCGAGGCUCAACCUCGGAACUGCCUCUAAAACUGUCAAUCUCGAGACCGGAAGAGGUGAGUGGAACUCCUAGUGUAGAGGUGGAAUUCGUAGAUAUUAGGAAGAACACCAGUGGCGAAGGCGGCUCACUGGUCCGGUACUGACGCUGAGGUGCGAAAGCGUGGGGAGCGAACAGGAUUAGAAACCCCAGUAGUCC
Molecule: ribosomal RNA, 274 nt
Filed under: uncultured bacterium
Lineage: Bacteria
Description: partial 16S ribosomal RNA
Rfam family: Bacterial small subunit ribosomal RNA
Source: RNAcentral